This 318-nucleotide long non-coding RNA is filed under the name Citrus sinensis (sweet orange). RNAcentral describes it as "long non-coding RNA (CSIN_LNC003722)". The record is from RNAcentral. Lineage: Eukaryota; Viridiplantae; Streptophyta; Magnoliopsida; Sapindales; Rutaceae.
UAUUUUAAAUGGACCACUUAUCACAGUUGAUAAUUCAGGUCAACUGCAUUACCGAUAUCAUAUCAUAUUUUACAUUGUUAUUGUUUAGAUUAAUUACCUGCAGAUUAAUUAAUUAAUAUGAUAUGAUAUCGGCAAUGCAGUGUCUUGAUGAUAGAACUGAUUAGGAGCAAAGAUGUCAAGCUGAGGAUUAUCAAUAGAACUUAAGAGGAGGCCGGAGAAGGCAUUACCUACCAAAAAAUGGUGGAAUCGUUAACCGAAGAGGAAAAGAAAUCUUUAACCGAACUGGAACAGAAGAUAACGGAGCGCAGUCUACUGGAC